CGAGGGCGGUGCGGAGCCCGCUGCAGCUGUGACUGCUGCAAAUGUUUAUAAACUUCUGAAAGAAAACUGUAAUUCAUCUACAAACACAGAUGCAAGGACAUUCCCAGCAUGUUCAUUGGCUGGUAUCCCAGGCAUAAGGAAAUGGUAUUUUGCAAGUCAUGUUAUAUGUGGUUAUUAUCAGGUAAGAAAUAUUUUUUUCAUAAUGUAAGUUCCACAGUUCUCUGCCUAGUGCAAGUUAAAAC
Non-coding RNA from Anas platyrhynchos (mallard), 242 nucleotides. NCBI's taxonomy places the organism in Eukaryota, Metazoa, Chordata, Aves, Anseriformes, Anatidae. The record is from RefSeq and is a predicted model, not a curated record.